AUGCUCACCCCCCCUCCUCGCCCCCUCCCCGCCAAGCUGCAUGCAUGGCUUUGGAGCACGCCCUCUUCCCGCCGCUGGCUCAAUCCUCCAUGCCCCUGCCUGGUCACAUCGCCGCUGCGUGCAGGCCAGCCACGCCGUACCCCAAAAAUCUCGCACUCUCCCAAGGCCGCGCAGCUGCCUCCUCUCCCGGGUCCUCUUUAUCUAUGCAACGCCGCCCGGCCUCCUCGCAUCUCAUCCAAGCCAUCGUGUUUCCGGUGUAGAGCGAGUGACCAUCUUGUGAGAGCUUGCCGCGACCCACUCCGUUGUGCUCGCUGUGGCCAGAACGGCCAUAAGGCUUUCGAGUGCACCUCCCGCCUUCCCCUCGCAUUCCUCCGCCCACCCUUCCACCGACCACCAGCAACCCUGAGGACCCAAGAGGCCGUGUCCCAUGAUGACGCCGCUGUCGGGCAGGAGCGGGUGCUCUGCUUUGGCUCGUACCGCGUCCUCCUCGAUGAGCCACCCGCCCUCUCCCCGUCCGUCACCUUCCCCGGCCUGCCUCGCUCCACUCCGUCCUCUGAUGGUGACUCCGCCCCCGCCUCUCAACGGGCCUCGCCGCCGGAUUCGCGCCUCGCCUCGGUCGGCAGCAACAAUGGUGCGCCUACCGCGGUGCCCCCACCUGGUGACGCCCCUUCGGUCGAGCGGCCGCAGGGCGCAGGCUCGCCGCGCCCCACCCCCAUCAGUGGCGGCCCAUCCAGCCCGCCCCUAUCCCGGACAUCUUCGUCUCCCACGGGCUCGUCCACGACGUCAGCCACUUCGCGCUCGCCCACGUCAACACCGCCAUGCUGGACACGCACGAGUUCAUCCGCCUACUCUUCGACAACCGCCUUGCCUCGGCCACCUUCCACUUCGCGGCCGUCUCGGGGUGCGCUGCCCUCCUUGUGUUCGACGACGAGGAGGGUCGUGCGGAGGCUCUCUACCUCUUCCCCAUGGACUUCCUGGGGAUCCACGUCGAGCUUCUCCGCCCGGAGGACGCGGAAAACCGCUCAACCACUACGUACGACCGCCUCGUCGAGCUCGACGCGUCCGGCUACCCGCUGGAGCUGUGGCAUCACCAAGGUGCUAACUUCGUCUUCGGCCACCUUGGGCUCCUCUGCUGCGUCGACCGCCGUUGCCUCCACCCCAGCGACUUCUCGACCAUGCGAGCCUUCGUCCAAGUGGAGUCCAGCGUCAACGUCCCCGACCGCUGCAUCCUGCGUCUCCCCCCAACCAAAUCGUUGA
This 1257-nucleotide ribosomal RNA is filed under the name Triticum aestivum (bread wheat). RNAcentral's name for it is "partial small subunit ribosomal RNA". Lineage: Eukaryota; Viridiplantae; Streptophyta; Magnoliopsida; Poales; Poaceae. The record is from RNAcentral.